RNAcentral lists this transfer RNA (70 nucleotides) under Loxodonta africana (African savanna elephant). It matches the Rfam family "tRNA". From Rfam's summary of the family: Transfer RNA (tRNA) molecules are approximately 80 nucleotides in length. Their secondary structure includes four short double-helical elements and three loops (D, anti-codon, and T loops). Further hydrogen bonds mediate the characteristic L-shaped molecular structure. tRNAs have two regions of fundamental functional importance: the anti-codon, which is responsible for specific mRNA codon recognition, and the 3' end, to which the tRNAs corresponding amino acid is attached (by aminoacyl-tRNA synthetases). tRNAs cope with the degeneracy of the genetic code in two manners: having more than one tRNA (with a specific anti-codon) for a particular amino acid; and 'wobble' base-pairing, i.e. permitting non-standard base-pairing at the 3rd anti-codon position. The record is from Rfam by way of RNAcentral. Lineage: Eukaryota; Metazoa; Chordata; Mammalia; Proboscidea; Elephantidae.
GCUGUGGUUGUCCAGUGGUAGAAUUCUCACCUUCCACGUGGGAGACCCAGGUUCGAUCCUGGCCAAUGCA